CGAGCGAGCGAUGAAUUUUCGGAUGGAUUGCUGAGCGGCGGACGGGUGAGUAACGCGUGGGUACCUGCCUCAUACAGGGGGAUAACAGUUAGAAAUGACUGCUAAUACCGCAUAAGGCCGCAUGGUAAAAACUCCGGUGGUAUGAGAUGGACCCGCGUCUGAUUAGCCAGUUGGUGGGGUAACGGCCUACCAAGGCGACGAUCAGUAGCCGACCUGAGAGGGUGACCGGCCACAUUGGGACUGAGACACGGCCCAAACUCCUACGGGAGGCAGCAGUGGGGAAUAUUGCACAAUGGGGGAAACCCUGAUGCAGCAACGCCGCGUGAGGAAGAAGUAUUUCGGUAUGUAAAGCUCUAUCAGCAGGGAAGAAAAUGACGGUACCUGACUAAGAAGCCCCGGCUAACUACGUGCCAGCAGCCGCGGUAAUACGUAGGGGGCAAGCGUUAUCCGGAUUUACUGGGUGUAAAGGGAGCGUAGACGGCGAGACAAGUCUGAAGUGAAAGCCCGGGGCUCAACCCCCGGACUGCUUUGGAAACUGCCUUGCUGGAGUGUCGGAGAGGUAAGUGGAAUUCCUAGUGUAGCGGUGAAAUGCGUAGAUAUUAGGAGGAACACCAGUGGCGAAGGCGGCUUACUGGACGAUAACUGACGUUGAGGCUCG
This 658-nucleotide ribosomal RNA is filed under the name uncultured bacterium. RNAcentral describes it as "bacterial SSU rRNA". It matches the Rfam family "Bacterial small subunit ribosomal RNA", at positions 63 to 755 of the family's 1533-position model. The record is from RNAcentral.